Molecule: ribosomal RNA, 499 nt
Filed under: uncultured bacterium
Lineage: Bacteria
Description: partial 16S ribosomal RNA
Rfam family: Bacterial small subunit ribosomal RNA
Source: RNAcentral
GACGAACGCUGGCGGCGUGCCUAAUACAUGCAAGUCGAGCGAAGUUUUUCUGGUGCUUGCACCGGAAAAACUUAGCGGCGAACGGGUGAGUAACACGUAAAGAACCUGCCUCAUAGACUGGGACAACUAUUGGAAACGAUAGCUAAUACCGGAUAAUAGCAUUAACUGCAUGGUUGAUGUUUAAAAGUUGGUUUUGCUAACACUAUGAGAUGGCUUUGCGGUGCAUUAGCCAGUUGGUGGGGUAAAGGCCUACCAAGGCGACGAUGCAUAGCCGACCUGAGCGGGUGAUCGGCCACACUGGGACUGAGACACGGCCCAGACUCCUACGGGAGGCAGCAGUAGGGAAUCUUCCGCAAUGGGCGAAAGCCUGACGGAGCAACGCCGCGUGAGUGAAGAAGGAUUUCGGUUCGUAAAGCUCUGUUGUUAGGGAAGAAUGAUUGUGUAGUAACUAUACACAGUAGAGACGGUACCUAACCAGAAAGCCACGGCUAACUACGUG